GAUGAACGCUGGCGGCGUGCCUAAUACAUGCAAGUCGAGCGAACGGACGAGAAGCUUGCUUCUCUGAUGUUAGCGGCGGACGGGUGAGUAACACGUGGAUAACCUACCUAUAAGACUGGGAUAACUUCGGGAAACCGGAUCUAAUACCGGAUGAUAUUUUGAACCGCAUGGUUCAAAAGUUCAAGACGGUCUUGCUGUCACUUAUAGCUGGAUCCACGCUGCAUUAGCUAGUUGGUAAGGUAACGGCUUACCAAGGCAACGAUGCAUAUCCGACCUGGGAGGGUGAGCAGACACACAGGAAAUGAGACACGGGGCAGACUCCAAAGGGAGGCAGAAGGGGGGAAUAUUGGCCAAAGGGCGCAAGACUGAACAAGGCAAGCCGCGGGGGGGAAGAAGGGCUUCGGGGUGUAAAAAACUUUUGUAGGGAAAGAAAAAUAGGGGGAUAAAAACUGGGGGAGAUGACGGGACCGAAAGAAGAAGCAACGGCUAAAUUAGUG
RNAcentral lists this ribosomal RNA (497 nucleotides) under uncultured bacterium. Its description in RNAcentral is "partial 16S ribosomal RNA". It matches the Rfam family "Bacterial small subunit ribosomal RNA", at positions 28 to 507 of the family's 1533-position model. The record is from RNAcentral.